GAGUUGUAUCAUUUGCUAUCAUUUAAUACAAAUAUCUGGUAUAUUCUCGUAUAUUAAAAAAUAUUAGAAAAAUAUUACAAAACCAGUUGUUACAGUAACGAUUCUCUUCCCUUUCGUUCGUGUUACUCUUCUAUAUUUAGAUAAGUAAUAUACAUAUUUUUAUCAGGUCGUGGGACGAUUGUUUUUUGCCAUAAUAAUUAACAUUCUAACCGGAACGAUUUUUUAUAGCAGCAUAAAUAAGAGAUGCGUAGACGCAUUUUGGUCGAAAGUGGUGGGGGAAUGUGGCGGCGCGCGAUAUGAUAGCGUUUUGAGAUGGUUCAGUUCCGCGCCGUCUCACGUGCGCGACACAUUUCGACAAACGUGGAAUCAUCGGUGUGACAAAUCCUGCCAUACGUACCUUUAAAUUAAUUUCAUUUUUACAUCUAUCACCUAUUAUCGUUUCUUAUUAUAUUAUUUCUUUCACGAUUCAUUCAUACCUGGCACAUUUUUAUUCGUCUUCCGUUUUAUUAGAAAAAUUUCGUUGGAUAUUUUUUUACGCAUCUAUCCUUUUCUUAUUACCUUUUUUCAUUACGAUCCGUUAGACAACGAAAUACAGUGUGACAGUGCGUUCAGUGCUCUUGGAUAUAAUCAUGGAUAAGAGAAGCGAACGAGUCAGCCGUUUCAAACAGAAUUGCUUCGAAACAUUAAACAUAUUAUAUAAAAUUGACUUACAUUUGGAUUAUUUACCUUCGCUCGUCUACGAAGUGUCGUAUCGAAUAUUAUUUAUUCUUUGGAUAUGUACCUGUGCCUCAUCUCUGUUGCGGUAACAUGCCGAGUGAAGUGGUGGGGGCGCGACGUAGUGGGGAGAUACGGUGGCACGCAGCGAUCAGUUCCAUGCUGCGCGCGACACGGUAAACGUUGUCAUAACGUCCGUUCUCGUUCUCCACUCGAAAAUAGUGUGCUUCCGCGAUUUUUUCGGCCGUGAAAGUGACAUCUAUCUACGUAGCAUCUUGUUUCGUUUUCCUAUUCGAUUUUUACAGAGCACGUAUUUGUACGCGUCGGAGGUGUCGGAGUGAUCAGUGUUUUUUCUCGUGGAGUGACAUAUUAGUGACGAAUAUCGCGUUGACAGUGUACCAAACGUCGUUUAACAAAGGAAUCGUCCCCCUGAAAGGAACAUUUCGUGCAAAAUAGCUCAAUUAUCGAGUAAAAACAUUUGUCCUUCUCGUAUAUCGGAGUUCAUCAAUUCGCGGGUGUCUACCUAACCUCAUCUUGACCAACGUAGUACAAACUCCAAACAUUUCUGGAAGAUGAUUCGUUAUUGCAAAAAGAGCAGCCAAUCAGAGCUCGUGGAUUCCGUGGACCAGGAAUAUUCUUCUUCUUCCUGCAUAACUUUUUGGCGGGACAACAUGUGGACGUCACGUAUUACGCAGUGUGCCGUGUUUUGAAAUGCGAGAACGAAGAUAAAAACGGUGUUUGUUAUGUGUCUCGAGGUCAAUGACGCGCGUAAUUAAAUUCCAGCCGUUCGUAUUUAUUAUAUCUCAAUAAGUCGUAGAACGCGCGAUGUUGUCUUUGCCGUGGGCAGUGGCCAAACCGAGGCGAUUUCAGCGGAAAUCGCGUUUCUCGGAAUCGCGUGUGACUGACGCUAUGACACGAGGACAAUGCUCGGAAUUUCGGUUUUGAAUUUUGCCUUGACGUGACACGCGUCGACGAGGCUCGAUGUAGUGCGCGGAUUGCUAUGACAUUUGGCUUUGACUGAGUGGCUGCUAGAGUGCCGUAUCUCUAUCAUCCCCGGGGGAUCUGAUUUAUGUUGCACGUGUACCAAAUUUCCUGCGACAUCGUUGAUCGGUGCUGGAGUCUCGGAGGCCCGUGGCGCGAUGAAUCGCGUGGAUCAUUGGCGCCCGAAGGGAGAUUCUUCGCCUUCUUCGGCUCGCAACGACGACACGAUCCGACGCUGUCGACGAAAGGCAUCCGCCAGCGGAGCUUUUUACAGAUAGUAGAAAAUCAGCAGACGAUAAUGGACUGGUGUAGCCACGUGCAGUCCUUGCGAGCCACGUAGACCUAGGCCAAAAAUGAUGCGCAUGGAUUACCAUACCCUUGGUCGUGGUCGCGAAAAUGCCGCUUCUGCUAGCGACGAGGAGAAUCAAUCAGGACACUCGAGCGACCGUGAUCCCACGAUGGAUCCCGGCGCCGCGAAUUCGAAGGACCCUCGUACGUCAACCGCAAUCGUCCCAAUAAAAAUAUUUCCUCCCCUGGCACGGAACGCGCUGGAUUUCCUUCCCGAACGCCAAGAAAGAACCCAGAAGAAAUAGAUUCUCCCAUUCCGAGGAAUAUUUCCCUGUGUAGAGGGGGGAAACUUCGGGUUCCACAUUUUCCAAAUUCUUUCCCUCAAACAACGAUAAAUAGUCCCUCAAAUAUCUCGACGUCUAACAACCAAUAACUAGACGAUGAAUAUCUAUGCAAAUUCAUAUUUCUAUCAACAUAACUAGAAGAAUGAAAUCUGGAUAGGAAAUUGUUUUACCUAAUAAGACAACUGUAAUAUCUAAAUUGUAUUUAUUUAAAGAAAAAGACAGAAAGAAAUUUAUUUUUAUAUUCAAAAGUUUUACAUUCAUCAACAACGCAAAACAUAUAUUACGUCACAUUAAAAAUAUAUCGCUAGGAAUAUCAGUCGAUCACGAAGCUAUGCCACGUUUGAAAAAUUCACUCGAUUUUAAUUCGCUUUAAAUUGAUUUUUAUUCGACUGGCGCGAAAUACAAUAGAAAGUGAAGCGAAUUGUUUCUUUCUAUUCUACAUGGUUGUUAUAUGGAUCAGUAGGGUACACUUAUUUAACGACACGACAAACUUCGAAUCUCUUCGUUUCUUUCGCAAAGUGAUUGCGUAACGAUGGUGCGGAGGUAGCAUUACGCAAUCGUUACCUUCCUCGUUAAAGAAUUAAAAGAAUUCGCGUCGCCUCUCAGACAAACAAACGCUGGCGGCGUUAAAACAUGGUUUCGCCACUUGUCGAAAUAAAUUACCGCCACACCCGGCCGUAAAUGGGCGUGUAAGCGGUUUCACCCUGGUCAAAGACUCCUCUAGAAAUAAACGUACAGAUCGCAAUUAUCUAGAGACCAGCAAGAGGAUCUCCGACCGACGUUUCUCUCUUCAUCUUCGCAACGUGUCCGUUUGGAUGGACAACGCGCGAGCCUAACUCACUAAUCUCCUCCCGUGAGAGAUCAGAGCGGAGGAAUAUGAAAGCAAAGGUCGUGGAUACUGCUUCGUCACGUGCCUCUAUUAGACGAGUCUGAGGAAAGACUUUUUCUUAAGUUU
Molecule: RNA transcript, 3282 nt
Organism: Bombus pascuorum
Lineage: Eukaryota; Metazoa; Arthropoda; Insecta; Hymenoptera; Apidae
Gene: SoxN
Gene name: transcription factor Sox-2
Exons: 8
Source: RefSeq, a predicted model, not a curated record